RNAcentral lists this ribosomal RNA (1577 nucleotides) under Escherichia coli. Its description in RNAcentral is "partial 23S ribosomal RNA". It matches the Rfam family "Bacterial large subunit ribosomal RNA", at positions 1237 to 2798 of the family's 2925-position model. The record is from RNAcentral. Lineage: Bacteria; Pseudomonadati; Pseudomonadota; Gammaproteobacteria; Enterobacterales; Enterobacteriaceae.
CGUUCUGUAAGCCUGCGAAGGUGUGCUGUGAGGCAUGCUGGAGGUAUCAGAAGUGCGAAUGCUGACAUAAGUAACGAUAAAGCGGGUGAAAAGCCCGCUCGCCGGAAGACCAAGGGUUCCUGUCCAACGUUAAUCGGGGCAGGGUGAGUCGACCCCUAAGGCGAGGCCGAAAGGCGUAGUCGAUGGGAAACAGGUUAAUAUUCCUGUACUUGGUGUUACUGCGAAGGGGGGACGGAGAAGGCUAUGUUGGCCGGGCGACGGUUGUCCCGGUUUAAGCGUGUAGGCUGGUUUUCCAGGCAAAUCCGGAAAAUCAAGGCUGAGGCGUGAUGACGAGGCACUACGGUGCUGAAGCAACAAAUGCCCUGCUUCCAGGAAAAGCCUCUAAGCAUCAGGUAACAUCAAAUCGUACCCCAAACCGACACAGGUGGUCAGGUAGAGAAUACCAAGGCGCUUGAGAGAACUCGGGUGAAGGAACUAGGCAAAAUGGUGCCGUAACUUCGGGAGAAGGCACGCUGAUAUGUAGGUGAGGUCCCUCGCGGAUGGAGCUGAAAUCAGUCGAAGAUACCAGCUGGCUGCAACUGUUUAUUAAAAACACAGCACUGUGCAAACACGAAAGUGGACGUAUACGGUGUGACGCCUGCCCGGUGCCGGAAGGUUAAUUGAUGGGGUUAGCGCAAGCGAAGCUCUUGAUCGAAGCCCCGGUAAACGGCGGCCGUAACUAUAACGGUCCUAAGGUAGCGAAAUUCCUUGUCGGGUAAGUUCCGACCUGCACGAAUGGCGUAAUGAUGGCCAGGCUGUCUCCACCCGAGACUCAGUGAAAUUGAACUCGCUGUGAAGAUGCAGUGUACCCGCGGCAAGACGGAAAGACCCCGUGAACCUUUACUAUAGCUUGACACUGAACAUUGAGCCUUGAUGUGUAGGAUAGGUGGGAGGCUUAGAAGUGUGGACGCCAGUCUGCAUGGAGCCGACCUUGAAAUACCACCCUUUAAUGUUUGAUGUUCUAACGUGGACCCGUAAUCCGGGUUGCGGACAGUGUCUGGUGGGUAGUUUGACUGGGGCGGUCUCCUCCUAAAGAGUAACGGAGGAGCACGAAGGUUGGCUAAUCCUGGUCGGACAUCAGGAGGUUAGUGCAAUGGCAUAAGCCAGCUUGACUGCGAGCGUGACGGCGCGAGCAGGUGCGAAAGCAGGUCAUAGUGAUCCGGUGGUUCUGAAUGGAAGGGCCAUCGCUCAACGGAUAAAAGGUACUCCGGGGAUAACAGGCUGAUACCGCCCAAGAGUUCAUAUCGACGGCGGUGUUUGGCACCUCGAUGUCGGCUCAUCACAUCCUGGGGCUGAAGUAGGUCCCAAGGGUAUGGCUGUUCGCCAUUUAAAGUGGUACGCGAGCUGGGUUUAGAACGUCGUGAGACAGUUCGGUCCCUAUCUGCCGUGGGCGCUGGAGAACUGAGGGGGGCUGCUCCUAGUACGAGAGGACCGGAGUGGACGCAUCACUGGUGUUCGGGUUGUCAUGCCAAUGGCACUGCCCGGUAGCUAAAUGCGGAAGAGAUAAGUGCUGAAAGCAUCUAAGCACGAAACUUGCC